RNAcentral lists this ribosomal RNA (468 nucleotides) under uncultured bacterium. RNAcentral describes it as "partial 16S ribosomal RNA". It matches the Rfam family "Bacterial small subunit ribosomal RNA", at positions 28 to 507 of the family's 1533-position model. The record is from RNAcentral.
GACGAACGCUGGCGGCGUGCUUAACACAUGCAAGUCGAACGGAAAGGCCCUGCUUUUGUGGGGUGCUCGAGUGGCGAACGGGUGAGUAACACGUGAGUAACCUGCCCUUGACUUUGGGAUAACUUCAGGAAACUGGGGCUAAUACCGGAUAGGAGCUCCUGCUGCAUGGUGGGGGUUGGAAAGUUUCGGCGGUUGGGGAUGGACUCGCGGCUUAUCAGCUUGUUGGUGGGGUAGUGGCUUACCAAGGCUUUGACGGGUAGCCGGCCUGAGAGGGUGACCGGCCACAUUGGGACUGAGAUACGGCCCAGACUCCUACGGGAGGCAGCAGUGGGGAAUAUUGCACAAUGGGCGGAAGCCUGAUGCAGCAACGCCGCGUGCGGGAUGACGGCCUUCGGGUUGUAAACCGUUUUCGCCUGUGACGAAGCGUGAGUGACGGUAAUGGGUAAAGAAGCACCGGCUAACUCCGUG